GGGGACGUAGCUCAGUUGGGAGAGCGCGGGCUUUGCAAGCCUGAGGUCGAGGGUUCGAGCCCCUUCGUCUCCA
RNAcentral lists this transfer RNA (73 nucleotides) under Coriobacteriaceae bacterium EMTCatB1. It matches the Rfam family "tRNA". From Rfam's summary of the family: Transfer RNA (tRNA) molecules are approximately 80 nucleotides in length. Their secondary structure includes four short double-helical elements and three loops (D, anti-codon, and T loops). Lineage: Bacteria; Bacillati; Actinomycetota; Coriobacteriia; Coriobacteriales; Coriobacteriaceae. The record is from Rfam by way of RNAcentral.